UCCAGGGAUGCAAAUCAAACGUCGAUCGAAUCAUUCAGGACGAGUCCACAAAUUAGACAGCAAAGAUACUAUAGAAAGCGGCAAAUGUAAAGCGACCAUUUAAAAGAGGAGAGGGACAGUUGGCGAUAUCAGUGGUCAGGACAAUUCUGGAGUUUAUGGUUAAGAAAGUCGCAACAGGGCACAAAACACAACAAUGGGAUGAAAGGAAGUCACCCGUUGGACAAGUCUGUUUUUUCUGAGGUCGCAGUUGGCAGCAAAGAUCUUUGGUUGGCAGCAGACUGGAUAAAGGUGAACCAGGGCCUGCAGAUACUGGAAUCUGGAGCAAAAAUAGAUGACUGAAUUUAGGCACCAUACAAGAAGCUAGUAGAUAACGUAGUUUGGAGGGCAUGGAUUGAGGAUUCGUUAACAGAUAGAAAACAGAUCCUAGGAAUAAAAAGAAACAAAGUGAACCAUCCAGCCCAUCUUUAGAUGUGCAAAGACCCAUGACCUUCAACCCUGAAUGACAGCUGCCUAGAUGUGGUAGCAUAAAUGAUUCAAAAAAUGCACAACUGCAGGAAGGACCUACAGAAUGAAGUCUACAAGCCCUCCAGGGAGCAGAUGACAUAAAUCAGGCCCAGUUAUGCACGGAAUACUGAUAAAAUGCUGCAGUGAGUAUGUGAUCCUGUGAUUUUCUUUUAUAAAGAUUUUUCUCACACUUUCCACUCUUUCUAUUUCUUUCUUUCUCAAGCCAUUCGUCUUUUAUUAAAUGUGACUGAAGGAAAAUAAAGGUACAGCUUCAUAAAUUACAACGAUGAUCCCUUUUUAUUUUGUCUCUGCACCGCUCCAGAAUCCCAGGGCUGCAGUCCCACCAGAGCCAGCUAUCACCGAUGCCUCAACAACAUCCCAUUCUUUCUUUCUCAGUCCAGACUAUGGGCAAUACGAGGCUGGUGAUUAUAAGUGCAUUGCAGUUCCUUUUCCUGCCUAAUCCAAGGAUCACCCAAGCGAACUCUAUAACAAAUGAAUUGCAUUUAUGCGGCAUUUUUUUUACUGUUGUUGCAUCUAAGGAGAGGUUAUCAAAACUGAAUUUGACACUUGUGUCAUUGCAGGAAAUAUUUAGACAGAGGACCAAGAACUUGAACAGAAAAGCACACAUUAAAAACGGAAAAUACGGCAGAGAGGAUUAGGAAGGGAUGGCAUGGCUGCCAGUAAUGGAGCAACAUAAAUGGUACGCAAAGGAGGCCAGAUGUGGAGAAGCACAGAGAUUUUGAAGUUUAAAGGUGAUGACAAAAGGAGAAUAAGGUGAGAAAAAGAUAAGAAUUGUGAACUCAGGGCAUAGUUUAACCAGGAGCCAAUGCAGGCCUACAAACAUGGGUUAUGUGUAGGAAGUAACUGCAGAUGCUGGUUUAUACCAAAGAUAGACACAAAGUACUAGAGUAACUCAUCGGGUUAAGCAUCAUCUCUGGAGAAAAGGAAUA
Molecule: long non-coding RNA, 1454 nt
Organism: Amblyraja radiata (thorny skate)
Lineage: Eukaryota; Metazoa; Chordata; Chondrichthyes; Rajiformes; Rajidae
Exons: 3
Source: RefSeq, a predicted model, not a curated record